GUCCCUGUAGAGCAAUGGAUAGCAUGUUGAACUUCUAAUCCAAAGUUCGUGGGUUCGAAUCCCACCUGGGAUG
RNAcentral lists this transfer RNA (73 nucleotides) under Trichonephila clavipes. It matches the Rfam family "tRNA". From Rfam's summary of the family: Transfer RNA (tRNA) molecules are approximately 80 nucleotides in length. Their secondary structure includes four short double-helical elements and three loops (D, anti-codon, and T loops). Lineage: Eukaryota; Metazoa; Arthropoda; Arachnida; Araneae; Nephilidae. The record is from Rfam by way of RNAcentral.